GUAUAGCACAUGCCCCUGCAGUCUUACUGUUUAAUUCUCUGCCAUUUAUUAUAUAGUUUAUGCAGCCUUAGCCACACCUACUUGCAUUUGACUUAAGCAUCGUUCCUAAACACUUCCUGUAAAGAAAUGUUUAAUGUUUACACUUCCUUUAUUGCAAAUUAUGUUUAAUUUAGAAUUUCUUAUCUCAUGCUUUAAUAGCUUGCUAGACCCUGCAGGAGACUCAUGUGUGCAAUUAAAGUUCAAUUUACAGAGCAGGAGAUACAAACUUUUAAAGAAAGUUUCAUCUGAUUGAAAAUUAAACCAUAUUGUUUUCUUGCAGGCUGCGUCAGUCACAGCCAGGGGAGGUGUGGUUAGGGCUGCAUAAACAAACAAAAGUUAUUUAACUCCUAAAUUGCAGUGAAACUUAAGAGACAUGAUCUCUACACAAAAACUGCUUCAUUAAGUUAAGUUGUUUUGGUGACUAUAGUAUCCCUUGAAAGAGGCAUGAAAUUCUACCUUUUUUGUUUCUUUCUUUGUUUGUUUUUUACAUCACGAGGGAUAAGUAAACAUAAUUUUAAAAAUGGAGAGCAAAAAACGAGUCACAAGAGUAUUCUGAGAACGGACAGCAACCGAAAUAGCCUGCCCUUCUGUGGGUCCCCUCUCAGAACUCAAGCUGGUUUUAGCUCAUCUUGUGCCAUUACAGAGAGAACAUCUCUGAAACAUAUCAGACUGGUCCCACCCAUACGGGCAUUCCAGAUCCGAAAUGCCAGCAAGUUCUGUCUGCACGAGAGACACCGCAACCCCAGACGUUCGUUUCAGCCUUGUUAGGCAUCAUCAGUGAGGCAUAGCGGAUAUCUCUUUAGGCACCGUGAGCAAGGAGUCCACGUCUGGAUAAUUUAAAAAAUCCUGUAAAGUGGCAAUUACUCUUUAAAGGACCACUAUAGUGCCAGGAAAGCAAACUCAAUUUCCUUGCACCAUAGGGUCAUUAGGUCCCCCCCUCCAUCUGGACUGAAGGGGUUAAAACCCCUUCAGCCACUUACCUUUCUCUAGCGCUGGGCUCCCUCUGUGCUGGGGAACUCUCAACUCCCUGCCGACGUCAGCUCCGAAUGUGCAUGCGCGGCAAGAGCCACACAUGCAUUCAAACCGCCCAUAGGAAAGCAUUACUCAAUGCUUUCUUAUAGACGUCCAGCGUCUUCUCACUGUGAUUUUCAGUGAGACAGCCAGUAGAGGCUGGAUUAACCCUCAUUUCUGAAACUGCUAUGUUUUCAACUGCAGGGUUUAAACUAGAGGGACCUGGCACCCAGACCACUUCAUUGAGCUGAAGUGGUCUGGGUUCCUAUAGUGGUCCUUUAACAAUAGCUGUGGUAGAAAUUUACAUGUAGGGAAGUAAGUCAUUGCAUUACAUUUAAUUCAUUACCCAUAUACAGAAGGAUCAUGGAAGUAAGAAAGCACAUCCUUCUAACAGGUAAAAUGUGUGGUAAAAGCUGGUAACGUGUGUCUUGUUUGUUUUUACAGCCAAACCAGGGAAUCUGGAAGUGGAUAUUUGGAAUCAGGAGUCCACACUGUGCAGUUCUUUCUCAUUCUUUCUCACAAUCUGGCCCCUAAAGCCCCAUUCAGUAUGGAAUGUUCUGCUAAUUUUGUAUUUCUAGUUACUUGCAGCCCUGCAUUUGUAAAAGUAGUUUUGAUAUGUGAUUUUUACAGACUAGUUUGUCAUGUCUUAUUUUUACUUCACUGGUUUUUAAGGGUUUUAAUAAGUUGGUUCUAAGUUACUGAUGAUCUACUUUGUAAUAAACAUUAGAAAUAUAGCUUUUUUUCCCCCUAACAUAAGUGUUUUGAUGUAGGCUAAUGCACCCAACGUUGCAAAAAAAAAAAAUGCAAAGUACUAAAGCAGUGUCCUCCACCCAUGGUAAGAUUUCCAAUUAUGAUGAUCUCUGGUUUUAUCCAAUAUUUCUCUUAGAGAAGAAUUGUAGUCCUAGAUGCAUGGCAAUUGUGAUACACCAAUCCAAUGUGUUUCAAUUCAACAAGUAAGAUUUUUCUAUAUUUAGAGAGGCAAGGGAGGGCCAGGGAGGCUAGAUGGUGGUUUUAACACUAUAGGGUCAGGAAUACAUGUUUGUGUUCCUGACCGUAUAGUGUUCCUUUAACAACUUCACUAACAGUUUUACACAUGAGCCUGUCAAGAAAAAUGGGAAUUUUAUACAGCUUAUAUUCACUGAAGGGAUAAGCUUGAAACAGUAUCAAUUUUACAAAUCACAUUGCAACCUAUGUUAUGGUGUCUGGAUUGCAAUAUUAAUAUGUAUAGUAAAUAAAGUCAUGUGCUGUAAGUAGCUAUUAACCUGCAAGAAAAGGGGGAGUAGUUAAGUAUUGAAACAUUACUGCAUCUUUUUUAAUGCAUCUCUUUUUGUCUACUCAUAUACAGGUUAAAUGCUCAUAUUUCUAGGAAGAUCCUGGAACCUGCACUGUUUAACCAAAGCUGAAGACCUACUUUUGAACUUCUCGUUUAAAUAAACACUACAAGCACCAUAACCACUGCAACUCACACUGAAGUGGUUAUGAUGCCAGGCGUACCCUGGUGUCCCUCCCACAUUUUAAGUAGUCAAACCAUGUUCGUACAUUUGGAUUUAUACCCGGAGUCCACCAGGUGCUACUCCCCACCUCUAUUACAGAAAACAGAGAACUGGUAGCUCCUAACCUGGAGAUUCCAUUAACUCACCUGGGUUAAGCCCAGCUGUGCACCCAGGGGCAGACUGAGAACCCUCAGGGCCCUCGGGCAAAAUAAAUCAAGGGCCCCCUUACAGGCCCCACCCAUACUCCACAGCAAGUGCCAUCCUUGUCCCACCUCCAUACACCGCCUCCAGCCACACCCUACACAAUCUUUUAGACACAAGGAACAAAAGUGCAAUAAUCGCUUCGAGGCCCCAGUAGAGACUACAAUUGAGGGCUAAUGGGCUUGCUGGAAGGCUGUGGGCUUGCUGGCUACUGCCGGCAGGCUGUGGGCUUGCUGGCUGCGGCUGGCAGGCUGUGGAAGGGGGUCUUUCUAACAGGCCAUCUCAGCGUCCAUUAGAUAGCCUCUGCUGGAAACAGUCGCCUCCAAGCCCCAGUAGAGACUACAAUUGAGGGCUAAUGGGCUAUGGAGGGGGGGUCAUUCUAGCAGAGGCUAUCUCAGUGUCCUUUAGAGAGUGUGUUAGAAAGAAUCUCCUCCAGGCCCCAUUAGACACUACAAUGGAGUCUAAUGGGGCCUGGAGGGGGUUUCUCCAUCACUCUGGUUCCUAUUCACAAUAUAGCAACACAACAUAGCUCGCUGAUACCUAGACCAAGUUGGCUCCUCUUACCUUAAUUACUGUUGCUGGCUGUCAUCUGUGGGCUUGCUGGCUGUGGCUGGCAGGCUGUGGGCUUGCUGGCUACUGCCGGCAGGCUGUGGGCUUGCUGGCUGUAGGCCUGUGGGCUGACUGGCUGGCCCAUGGGCUGGCUAACUGGUGGCUUGUGGGCUGGCUACUGGCCAGCCUGUGGGUUGGCUGGCUGGCCGGCCUGUGGGUUGGCUGGCUGGCUGGCCGGCCUGUGGGUUGGCUGGCUGGCUGGCUGGCCGGCCUGUGGGUUGGCUGGCUGGCUGGGCAGGCUGGCUGGCUGGCUACUGGGGCACUUGUAGAUUAUUUAAAGAAAUAAUCCAUGCACAAUAACCACUACUGCUCUGUUUAAGAACAGUUUGACAACUUACCUGGGGUCUGCUGGGAUAUGGAGCUGUAGUAGGGUAUAGGAGCAGUGGUGCAAUGUGUGUGAAAGGUUCAGUGUGUGUGAGGGGGUGUAGUGUGUGAAUGUGUAGGCUGUGUGGGGCAAUGUGUGUAUGAGGGGGCUGUGUAUGUGUGUGGCAAUGUUAGUAUGGGGGGCUGUGUGUGUAUGGGUGGGCAGUGUAUGUGUGUGUGUGAGGCAAUGUGAAUGGUGUGUGUGGGGGCAGUGUGUGAAUGUGUAUGGUGUGUGUGUGUGUGUGUGAGGCAAUGUGAAUGGUGUGUGUGGGGGCAGUGUGUGAAUGUGUAUGGUGUGUGUGUGUGUGUGUGGGGGCAGUGUGUUUAUGGGGCUAGAGUUCACUCUCACAACUGCGACCACCAGGAAUCCCUGGUGGUCACAGUGUUGAGAGUGAACUCUAGCCCGGAGCUCCAGGGCUAGAGUUGACUCUCGCAAGAGCCGUAACGUUGCCAUGGUAACCGCGGCAACGCUCUGUGCUCGCGCAAGAAGGACCCAGAGGAGCUGCAGGCUGAGCUCCCGGGUCCUCUCUUCCUCCCUCCCCUGCCGGCUGCCCGCACGGUGCCUGCGGACAGGGGAGGGGGGGCAAUUGCCCCAUUGCCCCCCUGGAUCCACCAGUGAUAUAUACAGCCCUUCUGUGUGCCUUUUUGUCUCCCCCCAGUCACUCUGUAUGUUUCUUUCUCCCCCUCACUGCUCCUGUGUCCAUGUCUCCCCUCUCCUUCCCAGUCUCUCUUACCCCUCUUCCUCUUUCUCCCCUUGUGUGUCUCCCCCCUUUCCCUGUGUCUCUCUCUCCCCCACAUCUCUCUUCCUCUCUGUCUCUUUCUCCCCAUCUCUCUAUUCCCCCUCUUUCUCCCCCUGUGUCUCAUUCUUCCACAUCCUGUGCUGGGAAUUGUGGGAACCACAAAGGAGCAUGAGAGAGAGACAUGCUUCUCCCUCCUUCCGUCCUCAGCGUUAGUGACAGGACAGGAGUGCUGCCGGACCGGCGAGGCCACAAUUUACUAUUUCUGUUUACAUGCAAUCACUUGGUAACUUCAUUUAUAACCCCACUAUCCUCUCCAAGGAUAACUUGUCCUUUUCACGUACAAUUUUAUGCUAUAUUUCCUAUCUUCCAAUAUAUUUUUUUCUUGCCUUAUCUAUUUUUAACUUCUUUUUCAUUGCAGAUUAAAAGGAGCACUAAGGAGCUGUUGUGGUUAUGGUGCCAGAAGGCUGCAGGUGCCAUCCCCUGGUUCUGUUUCAUACAAUUUUUAUUUAUUUUUAAAGGUUUGACACCAACCCAGGCACCUGCUCCCUUGCUCGGCAUAUUGCUAAUGCGGACGUUCAUUAUUAGCAUUGGCAGUUUUGGUAUUGAUUAGCUAAGUGUAUCACAAUCUGUCAUGGAAAAUUUUUAUACUGAUAUACCCUACCUACAUAAAGUUCACCAACCUGCAGUUCUUGCUUCCUUAUCUUCAUCUGCCCUAUCUCUAAAUAUAACCUUAUCCUCCAUGUUUGCUACUUUGUUUCCCCUUAGAAUCUUGGUAACUGUGGGAAAGAUUAUUUAGUAAAUCUGCCUUUGUGCCUUUUUACGUUUAGAGAAACAUACUGAAAACGGAACACUAAAAUGUUAAAAAAAAAAAUAUGGAUAUAUUUUUUUUUUUUUUUAAACCAAUUAUAUACCAAAGCUUAGACACAUGGCAUCAUCAUAUGAAGACCUGGAACAUCUAAGGGAGAAUGAGAGGCUGUUUGACUGACCGUCAAUAGAAGCAUUUUCAGCCAUGUUUCACAUAAGAGAAAAAGGCACCAUCUAUGUGCAAAAACCACUACAUUUAGAUGUGGUUUUGGUGCUUAGAGGGCCCCUUCAACAUAAAAUAGAUGUAUAAAAAUUUAAUUGUGUCAACUGUAGUGAGAUUUAAUUAGUAGCUGCACCCAUUUGAGAAUAACAAGAGCAGUAGAUCCCCAUGCAUAAAACCAAAAACAAGGAUACACAUACAUUUUAACUUGGUUUUCUAAAAAGGGCAUGGCAAGAGCAUUCCUUUAUAGUGGUCAGAGUCUGUAUAUUAGUGAUUGAUAGACUUCAGUCCAAUACUUAAAGUUGCAUUGGUGUCCGGAUUGUCUCUCUAAUGCAUUUGAUAGAUUUAGGCCUCCUUAAUCUGCUAUAUUUUUUUCCAUGCUCAAAUGUUUAUAGUUUUUGCACAAAAACAAGUGUUUUGCAGAAUGCUGCACCAUAAGCUCGCCUCAUUAGCAACUCCUUUCUGUGCCAGAAAGACUACCUUAUCAAAUGUAUGCAACAGUACUGAUUCAAGCUAUUUUUCAUUCAACACCAGGCUGCAGAGUAUGUAAACUGGUAGUGACAUCCUUACCAUAUGCUUCCCUGACUGUUCUCUCGUAACACAGGUUAUGUAGUACAGAUUAUUCAGUACUGUAAGUGGCUGAGCAGUGUUUGAUGCGGACGUCUUUUUCUGGAUUGAGGAGGUGUGGCCAAAGAAACAGGCUUAUGUUGCAACAGGCAAAAAAAAUAAAAUAUGCAGCUUAUUAACGAGGCCAUAACCUAUUAAAGUUGUAUUGGUACCCAAAGUUUCCCUUUAACUGAAAACCAAAAAGAGUAAAUGUUUUAUAAAUUAUUUUUUUUUUAGAUUUAAUUUGUCUUGUUGAGGGUGACUGUAGAACACAGUUACUGUAAACCAUAUGAAUGCUUAUUUUAGUAAUAACAUAACAAAAAAAGGAAUAACAAAAUUAAUUUCAAACUUAAGGUUAAAAAAAAAAAAGCUGAACUGGGAAAAUACUCUGGGUUUUUUGUUUGGCUACUUUAGCCUUAUUCUAAAAUUUAUUUAGUAUUUUCACUUUACUAAAAACCCUGGAAAGUGAUUAUACAAAGGCUAUCACAUAAAACAUUUAAUUUUUUUUAUAGAGUCCUGCUUGACUGAUCAUUUUGCUACUAAACAUUUUUGGAAAAUAUAUUGUAUUCACUAUAUUGCAUGCAAGUCAUUUAUAUUAUGUUAUAUUAUGUGUGCUGAAUCAUGUUAGUAUACAUUGAGUUCGCUGUAGUGCAUGGGAGUCAUUUAUAUAUCUUAUAUGUGUUGAAUCUUAAUUAAUUUGUGAGCAAAAGCUGUCACCUGAUCCCUUGAGAGGUGUUAAAACAGCUCUGUCACACCCAACAUUUGUUUGGGCAUUUCAUUAAAGAAAAAAAAAAAAAAAAAAAUUCAAUUUCAACACAGUCAAAAGUUAUCCUAAAACAAAGUAAGAGCUAUUAUGGUAAGUUCUCUACUACCGCCGUCAAGUUUUGUUACCCUCCUCUGCUGUCGCUAGCAACGGCUGUGGGAAUAAGUCAUUGUCUCUUUCAUCAUAAAAUUAUAUCUACGGAGACUCUCGCAGGUUUCUCCAAACACGGUACUCCUGGACUACCACACUGAAGUGGGCUCCUUUUCUAUGAAGCGCCAUGCACUGAAGAGUAAAGAUGGCAGUGCUGGCAGGGGACAGCUUCAUGUAGGUAGAACUCACCUGCACUGCACCCCUGGGCUACGGCAUAAAAUAUGCAAAGACCCCAGAAGGUGAUAGAGCUGAUUUAAAGGGUUUACUCCAGGCACUGUAAACACUUCAUUGAUUUGAAGUGUUCAUGGUUACUGAAAUCUGUGAAUGUGAAGCAUUUCACAAUAAAACCUCUUUGCUGCCGGUAGUGUUACUCAGUGUAUCGUCAUUGGCAUGUCAUUAGCUAGCUUGGAACUAAUGUGAAUUAUGUGUAUAUUUGUAUGUACAGGCGCUUAUUAAUUGGCUGAAUGUAAUCAGCAAUGCUCUGCACCAGUUACCAGAUCAGCAUCUGGCUUAUGCAGAAGCCAAACGUUGUAAUUCCGCUGAAAAAGAGAGCUGGCAUCCUGCAGGAUCCCAUGUAAAAGGGUAAACCACUGUAAAAUGGUUUGCUCCAUUAACAGGGUGCGGCGUCAGGGUACUCUUUGUGUGACUAUGAUGGUUGGAGUAACUCUUUAUAAUCAGUAUUGCACUGUUUUAUUUAUAGGAAAGCUCCACACACAAAAAGCACUGUUAGCUUGCUCAUUUUAAUUGUGGCUUGUAAAAUUGACAAUUUUAUAAAUCAUUGCAGUAGCUCUUCCGUGUGAAUCAGACAUACAGGGAGAUUAUCUUCCACUAGCUCCACAGAGCUAAUGAAAGAGCCAUGCUUGCUUGGCUAGCUCAAAGAGAAGUGUCUAAAUUGGAAGAUUGCGUGUGUGUUGUUGCAGCCUAAAAUCAGAGGCUUCUCCAUGAAAACUCUGGUUGGCCUCUUCCCCGACAUAAUUUUUUGCGGAAAGGAGAAAGCUUACAAAGGCUGUAGACAAGAGAUCUGCAGGGGUUGCAAGCUGGCUUUAAAUAUGUCCCAAAGGAAGAAAUUGCUCAUAGGGCAUCAAAACAACAUAAUUUAGCGAUUUGGAUGUAUAGAUCAUACUCCUGCAGUUUCAGUGAUCAAUUAUGCAUAAACAAAGAAAUUUAACUCCUAAAUGGCAGAGAAUUGAGCAGGGGCAUAAUCUAUACACUAAAAUUGUUCACUAAGCUAAUGUUGUUUUGAUGCCUAAAUAGUGAUUAACGUAUAAUAUACUAUAUGUUAAUUUCACUUAUUUCAGCAUUAAUUACAAUUCCAAGUGGGGUAACAAUGUGGAGAUAACAAAAGUAGAGAUUCAGCUCUCUUACAUAUGUUGCAUCUUAUAGGGUUGCUCUGUUAAAGGCUGCCUACUGUCAAAUCUGUGCAUAGUAUAUGUCUGUCAGCGCAUACUGGCGACAAAUGUAAUGUGAUUCUCCCCUUGCAGGCAGAGCUUGCUGGUAAGUCUUGUGUCUACUCCCUCCCAAUUCCAUCCAUUCAGAUUUUUUUUGUACCACUCCCCCUCCUCUUGCCAGCUCAGAGAAUGUGCAGUUACAUGGUCCACACUACAUUAAUUACUAGAUUGUGUUAGAAAUGGACUUGGAUAAAAAAUAAAGUUCUUAUUCUAAGAGAAGGUACUUAAUCACAUGAUAUACUGCUAUAUAGAAAAUCGGUCCUUAUAUAGUUAAUUAUCAAAAUGUGUUGCUUUCGUUUCAGAACCAGAAACCUGACAUCUACGAGGAAUGCUACCACCUAACCUUAUGAAAACAUGCUGCUGUGAUUUACUAUAUAUUAUUUCAGGUACUCAUUUAUUGACUAUGCCUUAUCAAUAAAGCCACAUAAUAGUUUUAAGGGACCUAUAUUAUAACCAUAAUAUAAAACACGGCUCAAAAUGUCCACUCCCCCCCCCCAUUGGCAAAUAAAUAUACACAAUAUAUGUGGGUGGUAUUUGUGCAGUAAUAAAUGUAUUGAAGCAGAAGCCCACCAUGCAGUAUCUGGUCUUUCACAGAACAAAAUCCACUAGAAGCAGUAUUGACAAAUUGCAAAUUACAGACUUGUCACUGCUUCUGGAUAAAUUCAGCCAGAGGUUGAAUAGAAAAUGAUCUAUUUUUGGGCCAAGUAAGGAGACUUCACAUGCCACAGUAGAGAAGUAUAGAAGAUAUAAGUAACUCUACCAGAACCUAAAUGUAGACCGUGUGGGGAUAGUGUAAGGAGACCAUUUACAAAUAAGGGUAAGAGGAAGGUUAAAUUUAAAAUUAUAUAUUUAUGUGCUUUUUGGCAUUUCCCUCCACAAAAUAGGUAGAUUGCACUGAACUAGAUGAAUAUGCACAUAAUGCAAGAUGUUAUGGACUUAAAGGGACACUGUAGGACACAUUUUAGAUACCCAGACUACUUCAGCUAACUGAAGUUGUCUGGGUGCCAGUGUCCCUUUUACACUUAGUACUGCAAUGUUAAACAUUGCAGCUCUAAGUAUGCCCACAGUGGCUGUCUACCUGACAGCCACUAGAGGGGCUUCCGGAAUAGAAAUAGACCUUUGGUCCAGUAACUGAUGCUGGACGUCCUCACGCUCUGCAUGAAGACAUCCAGUGUCAGAUUUUUCCCCAUAGGAAAGCAUCGAUUCAAUGGUGAGGUCUAAUAGGCACGCGUGCAUAUUACCACUAGCAUGUCGCGUGUGAGCGUCGGCCCUGCACCUAGGGACAUCAGUGCUGGCAAAAGGUAAUUAAAGGGUUUUUAACUCUUUUAUUUACCUUUACCGAAUGGGGGGGCGCGAUGAAAGGGGGAGGCAGAGGGAGCUAUAGUGCCAGGAAUACAGCUUUAUAUUCCUCGCACUUAUAGUACCCUUUAAAGAAAAAAGAAAAUCCCUGGCCACACAGCACACUAGUAAGGGUGAUCCAAAAUCCACUACCUUAACUAUCUGUUUGGAGCUUGAAGCUACGAUAGUAUUAUGUUUUAUGUCUGGUAUUAAAGUAAAUGUGUAAGUCUAUAUAGCUGGCAAGCAUUGGAGGCCCACAGACCAGAUGUAACAUAUGGCUUUUUUUUGUGGCCAGCAUACUGUCUGUGAACUGUGAUUUACGUCAGUGUGCACUUGUUUUGUUAAUAUACAGUGACAGGCAUUUAAAGAUUAUUUAUAAUUUAUUAUGUAUAACGAAUACUCCCAUUAAUAAAGUGUGUUCUAAAAAUG
Molecule: non-coding RNA, 10214 nt
Organism: Pelobates cultripes (western spadefoot toad)
Lineage: Eukaryota; Metazoa; Chordata; Amphibia; Anura; Pelobatidae
Source: the annotation of a GenBank genome assembly